This 438-nucleotide ribosomal RNA is filed under the name uncultured bacterium. Its description in RNAcentral is "bacterial SSU rRNA". It matches the Rfam family "Bacterial small subunit ribosomal RNA", at positions 352 to 782 of the family's 1533-position model. The record is from RNAcentral.
CAGUAGGGAAUCUUCCACAAUGGACGAAAGUCUGAUGGAGCAACGCCGCGUGAACGAUGAAGGCCUUCGGGUCGUAAAGUUCUGUUGUAAGGGAAGAACAAGUGCCGCAGGCAAUGGCGGCACCUUGACGGUACCUUGCGAGAAAGCCACGGCUAACUACGUGCCAGCAGCCGCGGUAAUACGUAGGUGGCAAGCGUUGUCCGGAAUUAUUGGGCGUAAAGCGCGCGCAGGCGGCCUCUUAAGUCUGAUGUGAAAGCCCCCGGCUCAACCGGGGAGGGCCAUUGGAAACUGGGAGGCUUGAGUAUAGGAGAGAAGAGUGGAAUUCCACGUGUAGCGGUGAAAUGCGUAGAGAUGUGGAGGAACACCAGUGGCGAAGGCGACUCUUUGGCCUAUAACUGACGCUGAGGCGCGAAAGCGUGGGGAGCAAACAGGAUUAGA